GGAAUCUUCGGCAAUGGACGAAAGUCUGACCGAGCAACGCCGCGUGAGUGAAGAAGGUUUUCGGAUCGUAAACUCUGUUGGUAGAGAAGAACGUUGGUGAGAGUGGAAAGCUACAUCAAGUGACGGUAACUACCCAGAAAGGGACGGCUAACUACGUGCCAG
Molecule: ribosomal RNA, 162 nt
Filed under: uncultured bacterium
Lineage: Bacteria
Description: partial 16S rRNA
Rfam family: Bacterial small subunit ribosomal RNA
Source: RNAcentral